AGCUUUCAACAACGGAUCUCUUGGUUCUGGCAUCGAUGAAGAACGCAGCGAAAUGCGAUAAGUAAUGUGAAUUGCAGAAUUCAGUGAAUCAUCGAAUCUUUGAACGCACAUUGCGCCCCUUGGUAUUCCGGGGGGCAUGCCUGUUCGAGCGUC
RNAcentral lists this ribosomal RNA (153 nucleotides) under uncultured fungus. RNAcentral's name for it is "5.8S ribosomal RNA". It matches the Rfam family "5.8S ribosomal RNA". Rfam says of the family: 5.8S ribosomal RNA (5.8S rRNA) is a component of the large subunit of the eukaryotic ribosome. It is transcribed by RNA polymerase I as part of the 45S precursor that also contains 18S and 28S rRNA. The record is from RNAcentral. Lineage: Eukaryota; Fungi.